Molecule: ribosomal RNA, 352 nt
Filed under: Sarasinula linguaeformis
Lineage: Eukaryota; Metazoa; Mollusca; Gastropoda; Systellommatophora; Veronicellidae
Description: partial 16S ribosomal RNA
Rfam family: Bacterial large subunit ribosomal RNA
Source: RNAcentral
CGGCCGCAGUACCCUGACUGUGCAAAGGUAGCAUAAUCAAUUGGCUUUUAAUUGGGGUCUUGUAUGAAUGGAUUUACGUAGAAAUUCUGUCCCAGUUAAAUUUUGUAGAAAUUUUUAAAAAGGUGAAAAUCCCUUUAAUCUGUAAAAGACGAGAAGACCCUAAGAAUUUUAAAAAAAUAAGAUCAUCUUUUUUGCUGGGGCGGCAAUGGAUCAAAUAACAUCCAUAUUAUCGGCUAUAUCCAUAUUAUAAAUUACCUUAGGGAUAACAGCGCAAUUGUGACCUCGAUGUUGGACUAGGAUAUUUUAAGGUUAGAGACUUUAAAAUAGGUUCUGUUCGAACCUUUUCUCCUAC